RNAcentral lists this ribosomal RNA (254 nucleotides) under uncultured bacterium. Its description in RNAcentral is "partial 16S ribosomal RNA". It matches the Rfam family "Bacterial small subunit ribosomal RNA", at positions 524 to 776 of the family's 1533-position model. The record is from RNAcentral.
CACGUAGGGUGCGAGCGUUGUCCGGAAUUAUUGGGCGUAAAGAGCUCGUAGGCGGUGUGUCGCGUCGGCCGUGAAAACCUGUGGCUUAACUGCGGGCUUGCGGUCGAUACGGGCAUCACUGGAGUUCGGCAGGGGAGACUGGAAUUCCUGGUGUAGCGGUGAAAUGCGCAGAUAUCAGGAGGAAUACCGGUGGCGAAGGCGGCAUCCUGGACCGGCAUUGACGCUGAGGCGCGAAAGCCAGGGGAGCAAACGGG